Molecule: ribosomal RNA, 499 nt
Filed under: uncultured bacterium
Lineage: Bacteria
Description: bacterial SSU rRNA
Rfam family: Bacterial small subunit ribosomal RNA
Source: RNAcentral
CGAACGCUGGCGGCGUGCUUAACACAUGCAAGUCGAACGAGAAAGUUCCCUUCGGGGAGCGAUUAAAGUGGCGCACGGGUGAGUAACGCGUAGAUAAUCUACCCCAAUAUCUGGGAUAACUACUCGAAAGGGUAGCUAAUACCGGAUACGCUUUAAGUGUAGCGAUACAUUAAAAGGAAAGGUGACCUCUCAGAGAAGUUGCCGUAUAGGGAUGAGUUUGCGUACCAUUAGCUAGUAGGUAGGGUAAUGGCCUACCUAGGCGACGAUGGUUAGCGGGUCUGAGAGGAUGAUCCGUCACACUGGAACUGGAACACGGACCAGACUCCUACGGGAGGCAGCAGUGAGGAAUAUUGCGCAAUGGGGGAAACCCUGACGCAGCGACGCCGCGUGGGUGAAGAAGGCCUUCGGGUUGUAAAGCCCUGUCAGGUGGGAAGAAAUGCAUAUAAGUUAAUACCUUAUAUGUUUGACGGUACCACCAGAGGAAGCACCGGCUAAAUCC